RNAcentral lists this ribosomal RNA (303 nucleotides) under uncultured bacterium. RNAcentral's name for it is "partial 16S ribosomal RNA". It matches the Rfam family "Bacterial small subunit ribosomal RNA", at positions 507 to 807 of the family's 1533-position model. The record is from RNAcentral.
AGCAGCCGCCGCGGUAAAACGAAGGGGGCUAGCGUUGUUCGGAAUUACUGGGCGUAAAGCGCACGCAGGCGGCUCGAUAAAUUAGAAGUGAAAGCCUUGGGCUUAACCUGAGAAUUGCUUUUAAGACUGUCGAGCUAGAAUCCAGAAGAGGGUAGUGGAAUUCCGAGUGUAGAGGUGAAAUUCGUAGAUAUUCGGAAGAACACCAGUGGCGAAGGCGACUACCUGGUCUGGCAUUGACGCUCAUGUGCGAAAGCGUGGGGAGCAAACAGGAUUAGAUACCCGGGUAGUCCCUGUCUCUUAUAC